GGGCAGCUGGCGCAGUUGGCUAGCGCGCUUCCUUGACAUGGAAGAGGUCACAGGUUCAAGUCCUGUGCUGCCCACCA
This 77-nucleotide transfer RNA is filed under the name Candidatus Omnitrophota bacterium. RNAcentral describes it as "Candidatus Omnitrophica bacterium tRNA-Val". It matches the Rfam family "tRNA". From Rfam's summary of the family: Transfer RNA (tRNA) molecules are approximately 80 nucleotides in length. Their secondary structure includes four short double-helical elements and three loops (D, anti-codon, and T loops). Lineage: Bacteria; Pseudomonadati; Candidatus Omnitrophota. The record is from RNAcentral.